RNAcentral lists this ribosomal RNA (124 nucleotides) under uncultured bacterium. RNAcentral's name for it is "partial 16S ribosomal DNA". The record is from RNAcentral.
GCGAUGAUGCAUAAGCCGCGUGAAGGAGAAGGCCUUCGGGUCGUAAGCUCUUUCUGGGGGACGAGGAUGGAGUGACUGAGGAGAAGGGUCGGCUAACUCCUUGCCAGCAGCCGCGGAAAUCCAG